Molecule: long non-coding RNA, 1583 nt
Organism: Triticum aestivum (bread wheat)
Lineage: Eukaryota; Viridiplantae; Streptophyta; Magnoliopsida; Poales; Poaceae
Exons: 2
Source: RefSeq, a predicted model, not a curated record
GAGAUGCCGCACGUCGUCGACGUCCGCCUGCGUGAGAUCCAGCUGCUUGCGAAGAUGCGCCAGAUCGGACGAGACUUGCGUGUUGAACGCAAGCUGCGCCUCGAGGUGCUUCUCGCCCGCACGCGUGCUGUCGUCGAACCGCGUCAUGAGGGCCUGGAUCAAGGACUUGAGCUCGUUGGAUGAAUCUGCCAUGGCGUUGAGAACGUGGCGCGUCUGAGCAGAGGGCUUGGACGAAGGAGCCGUCGCCUCGCUCUAACUCCAGCCAACCCUACGGGGGAUUUCGUGUGGAUCUCGCCGGAGCGGACCACACCCCACGCGGUGGAUGUUACGGCCGGUGAAAGGAACGGGGAAAAGGGGGCGCGGCGGAGCAAAAUCCGGGGGGAAAAGUGGCUCUGAGUACCAAAUUGUCACGAACUCGCUCUCUCAGAUCGGAUCGGAGGGGAAAAGGGGAUGAGAUUUAGGCUUGGGAAACUAGCUUGCUUUCCAAGGGAGACGAGAUACAGAGAGGGUGAGGAUUCAGAUUCAGGUUCAAUUCACAUGCCUCCACCGAAAGCCCCACACUGGCUUAUAACCCACGCCACACGCACCCCGUGCCAACCCUUACAAGUGGGCCCGUGCCAACUGGCCACGGUGCCCCAACUCACUCGUCCACCGCAUCCACCACCGAUGAUGCAGGUGUGACACGAGAGUCCACAGCCGACGGGGAGAGCCUCUCCGGUUGGAACGACCACCCACAUCGGGGCUGAGGGGAACCGCGCUGACGUCGACCGACGGAGAGACGCCGCGCUGCGGGCGCGGCGGGGAGAAGAGAGGAAGGGGCGCGCGCGUGGGCGGCUGGCCGACGGGAACCAGCGUGUCUCUGCCACAUCUACGAACUGCAGAAACAAAGGUGCAAGACAAUAGAGAAGAUAGAAUUCAAGAUUCAGCAACUUUUAUCUACCAUCCAGUUCUACAAGGCACGGGGAUGCAAGUUCAUGGCCAAAAUAAUUGGAACAACACUUUUACCUUUGCUGUUUUUCACUGGGAGAAACUUGCCCAGCUCUGCCAAUAUUUUUGCCCAAUAUUCACCAGAAAUUUUGCCUGAUCAGCAUGAAGAGUUGCAGAUACAAUUACGUUUUCAGAAUUUCCCCAUGAUCUUUUGCCUUGUUUUCGUCUCUAUUUUACUCUGUUUUUUCGCUGUGGGAGGAGAGCUCCACAACGCUAGGCCAUUGCGUCCAGCGGUGGCUGGGGAAGGAGUUGUACGGGGGAUCUGGCUGGUGGGCGUAGGAUUUUCUGUGCUGGAUGGAGGGGAGGAUCACGUGAGUGAAAGGAUGGCUGGUUGUCAGGACGUGGCAACAAGAUGGGGAAGCUGGACUUGCCUUCUUUAGCACAUGGGGUGGGGGACCGACAGGGCACUUUCCUUAAUUGCCGGCCGCGAGAUACGCCCGCGUAGCGCGCGGGCGCUGUGUAGCAGCGUCCAUCUAUCAAUUAGCUCUUAGGAUCGGGAAUAGGAUUGCCAAUGUAAUCAUUGCUGGGUAUUACUCAGAUUGCGCUCGUCGUGUAACUCUUUUUUGUUUAAAGGACAAAAAGUAUCAUGUUGUUUC